UACGAAGGGUGCAAGCGUUACUCGGAAUUACUGGGCGUAAAGCGUGCGUAGGUGGUUUGUAAGUCUGAUGUGAAAGCCCUGGGCUCAACCUGGGAAUGCAUUGGAUACUGGCAGGCUAGAGUGCGGUAGAGGAUGGCGGAAUUCCCGGUGUAGCAGUGAAAUGCGUAGAGAUCGGGAGGAACAUCUGUGGCGAAGGCGGCCAUCUGGACCAGCACUGACACUGAGGCACGAAAGCGUGGGGAGCAACAGGAUAGAAACCCG
RNAcentral lists this ribosomal RNA (261 nucleotides) under uncultured bacterium. Its description in RNAcentral is "partial 16S ribosomal RNA". It matches the Rfam family "Bacterial small subunit ribosomal RNA", at positions 524 to 788 of the family's 1533-position model. The record is from RNAcentral.